AAGCAAGCAAAGAGAGGAAGAAAAAAAGCAAGAAAGUCAGAGAGAAACUUGGAGUAAAAGGUAGCACCACCGAUAAAAGUUCUACUUUUGGUUAUUGUUCCUUUAUUGGAAAAAAUUUAGUUCCAUGAUGAAGCAAAAGACAAAGUGUGUUAGCUAGAAGUAGCAUUGAAGCACACUUCAGGGCAUUUGAAUAAAAAGACUUUUGGAAGAAUUUAGAUUUAACCAAGUGACGCCUAUACAUGUCUAUUGUGACAAUAAGGUAGCCUUUUCCAUACCUCACAAUCUAAUCCUUCAUGAUAAGAUGAAAUAUAUCAAAAUUGAUCAAUAUUUUAUAAAGGAGAAGAUUGAUGUUGGAAUGAUUUGUACCUUUUAUCUCCCAAUCUUAGAGCAAAUUGUUAAAAUAUGGACAAAAAGACUCCCAAAAUUAAAAUUUGACAAGUUAAUUAGCAAGUUGGCAGUGGAAGGGAGAGUGUUGAUUUAUGCCUUAAUUAUAUGCUGUAAUUAUAUUGUGAUUAUUUUGGUAGGAUCUUUUCCUUUCCUGUUUUCAGGUCUUCAUUCUAUUUAAGAUUGACCUUUGUAUCUUGGUAAAGUAAGAAAGUUGAGGAAUAAAAUAAAUAUAUUUCCCAGUUUGCAGCAGUUUGUGAUACUGAUAACACCUUACAUGCAAAGGUGGCUGAUUAAUAAAAGGAUUAAGUGUUUUUGGUGGCCAAUUCUUGGGUGCACUGCAUCCUAUGAGCCCUAAGGUGCCUUGGUAUGUACUUUUUUGGUUUAGAGUAACAUUCUUUCACACUCGUCUAUCCCGUGGUUCGCUGUUUAAGAUAGGCUUUACACGCAGGCUCAACUACAUAGUUGGAAUACCUUAGUCUUGACAACUUGUUUUCUUUGCAGAUGAGCAGAUGAGUCUUGUGAUCACUUGUGCUUCAAGAACCCUUUUCGUACGUUUAUUUGGGUAGAGGUGCUUGUUUGGAGCCAGUCCACCCAUCAGAUAUCUUAUUGGGAUAUGGAGCCAGUUUGGAUAUAUCACAUCAGUCCUGAGAAAUGUUUGCAUUGUUGGGUUUGAAGGUUCACUUGGUGUGUAGCCAUCUAUCCCUGGUGGGAGAUGUAACAUGUAACAUCCCGCACAUUUUUUAGUAACAAUGUAAUUUCAGUAACUUUAUUAUUUGAAAUUUCAAUAAUCGUUAUUAGUUAGAGGACAUUUUUAGAAUUUUGGACUUCAAGUGUAA
Benincasa hispida (wax gourd) is the source of this 1223-nucleotide non-coding RNA. The record is from RefSeq and is a predicted model, not a curated record. Lineage: Eukaryota; Viridiplantae; Streptophyta; Magnoliopsida; Cucurbitales; Cucurbitaceae.